CCUGACGGUAGUCGUAUGCUCGUCUCCGAGACUAAGCCAUGCAAGUCCAAGUACACGUCCUUGAACGACGGAAACUGCGAACGGCUCAUUAAAUCAGUUGCGAUCUACUCGGCGUUCCGCGCCGCCGGAUAACCGUAGUAAUUCUAGGGCUAAUACGUGCGAAGCGCCCGAAGCCGCGAGGCGACGGGCGUUCUCGCCGGAUGUAGGAACCGACCCGGGGACCGCCGGGGCAACCCGGCGCCCCCGAGACGGGGCGAACCACGGUGAAAUGACGGAUCGUCGGCCCCGCGCCGGCGACUCGCCGAAUGAGUUUCUGACCUAUCAACUCGAGACGGCGGGGUAGAGGCCCGCCGCGGUAACGACGGGUAACGGGGAAUCAGGGUUCGAUUCCGGAGAGGGAGCCCGAGAAACGGCUACCACUUCCAAGGAAGGCAGCAGGCGCGCAACUUACCCUAAUCUCGAUUCGAGGAGGU
RNAcentral lists this ribosomal RNA (473 nucleotides) under uncultured eukaryote. RNAcentral's name for it is "bacterial SSU rRNA". It matches the Rfam family "Eukaryotic small subunit ribosomal RNA", at positions 13 to 465 of the family's 1831-position model. The record is from RNAcentral.